RNAcentral lists this transfer RNA (74 nucleotides) under Deltaproteobacteria bacterium. RNAcentral's name for it is "tRNA-Arg". It matches the Rfam family "tRNA". Rfam says of the family: Transfer RNA (tRNA) molecules are approximately 80 nucleotides in length. Their secondary structure includes four short double-helical elements and three loops (D, anti-codon, and T loops). The record is from RNAcentral. Lineage: Bacteria; Pseudomonadati; Myxococcota; Myxococcia. RNAcentral also lists the same sequence under 2 other names.
GCGGCCAUAGCUCAGCUGGAUAGAGCACAGGUCUACGAAACCUGGGGUCGGAAGUUCGAAUCUUCCUGGCCGCA